UAGUUCAGUUGGUAGAGCAUGGCGCUUGCAACGCCAGGGUUGUGGGUUCUAUUCCCAC
This 58-nucleotide transfer RNA is filed under the name Salmo salar (Atlantic salmon). It matches the Rfam family "tRNA", at positions 8 to 63 of the family's 71-position model. Rfam says of the family: Transfer RNA (tRNA) molecules are approximately 80 nucleotides in length. Their secondary structure includes four short double-helical elements and three loops (D, anti-codon, and T loops). Further hydrogen bonds mediate the characteristic L-shaped molecular structure. tRNAs have two regions of fundamental functional importance: the anti-codon, which is responsible for specific mRNA codon recognition, and the 3' end, to which the tRNAs corresponding amino acid is attached (by aminoacyl-tRNA synthetases). tRNAs cope with the degeneracy of the genetic code in two manners: having more than one tRNA (with a specific anti-codon) for a particular amino acid; and 'wobble' base-pairing, i.e. permitting non-standard base-pairing at the 3rd anti-codon position. The record is from Rfam by way of RNAcentral. Lineage: Eukaryota; Metazoa; Chordata; Actinopteri; Salmoniformes; Salmonidae.